RNAcentral lists this ribosomal RNA (189 nucleotides) under uncultured bacterium. RNAcentral describes it as "partial 16S ribosomal RNA". It matches the Rfam family "Bacterial small subunit ribosomal RNA", at positions 338 to 524 of the family's 1533-position model. The record is from RNAcentral.
CCUACGGGAGGCAGCAGUGAGGAAUAUUGCGCAAUGGAGGCAACUCUGACGCAGCCAUGCCGCGUGCAGGAAGACGGCCCUACGGGUUGUAAACUGCUUUUAUCCGGGAAGAAACCCCUCGACGUGUCGAGGGUUGACGGUACCGGAGGAAUAAGCACCGGCUAACUCCGUGCCAGCAGCCGCGGUAAU